Small nuclear RNA from Chlorocebus sabaeus (green monkey), 166 nucleotides. Its record names the gene U4. It matches the Rfam family "U4 spliceosomal RNA". Rfam says of the family: U4 small nuclear RNA (U4 snRNA) is a component of the major U2-dependent spliceosome. The structure of U4 snRNA from yeast and human has been reported. The record is from Ensembl. NCBI's taxonomy places the organism in Eukaryota, Metazoa, Chordata, Mammalia, Primates, Cercopithecidae.
AGCUUUGCACAGUGGCAGUAUUGUAGCUGAUGAGGUUUAUCCAAGGCACGGUUAUUGCUAAUUGAAAAAUUGAGGAAUAGUUUAGUAAAACAUACAGAUCUUAAGUAUGUAGUUCAAUGGUGUUUUACAAAUAUCUGUCUGUAGCCAACACCCCAAUCAAGGCAGA